Sarcophilus harrisii (Tasmanian devil) is the source of this 3614-nucleotide long non-coding RNA. NCBI's taxonomy places the organism in Eukaryota, Metazoa, Chordata, Mammalia, Dasyuromorphia, Dasyuridae. The record is from Ensembl.
UGGCUUACACAGAACAAAACAAAAAAUAAGAGUUUCUAAAAUAUCAAUGAGAAGGAGCUGGCUUAAGUAUCUGUGCAUUGCUCUUUAAGGAAGAAACACACAUUGUCAGUUCAACUGGAAUAGAUACCACAACCCAAAGGGAGAGGAAAGGCCACGGUAGCCUUUUGGAUAGUACCACAAGAAUCAGAAAAGUGGGCAUAUGGGAAAAAAAAUUAACGACAGAAUAUCCAUUCCAGAGCACAUAUGUACAGAAGGUUGUGUACAUGACAUGAAAAGGGGACACUGAUGAGUGAAGUGAUUCUGGUGAAGGGGUAUCUACACUCUCCUACAAAACAGCAAAUAAGUUCUUUGCUUCUAUGUUUGGCAAAUUCUUGCAACCAUUGCAUAAAUAGCAUCCUAACUGUGAAAUAUACUUUGAAUUACAAACUGAAAGCAAGACUAAUAUUGCCUGUGGAGUAAAUUGAAAAAAAAAACUGCUGUGAACCCUAAAUCCUAGUCUACCGACAUGUACAAGGCCACAAAUCAGAGACUAAUGUAGAUGGAUCCUGCCAGUGAGGGACUUAAUUUCUGAGACUAAGUUAGAUUCACAAAGGGACUGAUUUUUUUUUUCUCAAAAGGCACAAUGAUUAAUUGAUAGAUUAUAGGCUUAAAAAGGUCACCUUCCUUUUUAAAGAAAUCAAUUUGCUCAUUGGGGACCUCUGGAGUCAGAUCUAUCUUAAUCAUUCUAGUUUAUAUCAUCAUCAGUGAGUUAUUUUUUCUCUACUGGGUCUGUUUCUUUUUUUCUGCUUAUCAUUCCUAAGUAUUAACCAAAGCUUUCUUAUUUCUUUCUAUGUAUUAAAUUCUAAACUUAUAUCAGGUCAUGUCUUCUUUUUCAUAUGUAUCAGUGAUAUCUUCUACUAGCUCUUUUUUUGUUUAUUCUUUUCAGGUUAUCAUUUCUAAGUGUUAACUGAUCUUCUUUUUCUUAUUUAGGGAAAGUGAUUAUAUAGAAAAAUAGGAUGGUUUCUAUUCUGUACCAUUUUUACAUUUUCUAUAAGUUUGACUAUACUUUCUAUAUAUACCUAGAAUAUUUUUUUAGGCAUAUAUGCCUAAAGAGGAAAAAACAAAACAAACAAAAACUUAUUCUUUUCAGAAUACAAAUGCUUUAGGCAACUAUCUUUAUCUUCUUUGAUAACAAAAUUCAAAGAAUAGUUGCCAUGUUUUACAUGUGAAGAGAUAAACCUCAAACUUCCAAAAUUUUUGCUUUAAUGGUCCUCUCAUCGUUCACCUUAAAACAUCCACUUUACUUCCCCCAUUUUAUAAGACUUUGUUCUUAUUGUUAAUACCUGUUUGGAUACAAAGCUUCCAUUAUUAACUGCCAAGGGAAGAAAAGACAAAAUCCAUAGUCUGUGCUCUUGUAAUCCCCUUUAGAAAACCUAAAAGCAUCAGUAUGGAAAAUGCCUGACUUGUUUGGGUUAUGGAAGUGCUGCAGUGAUGUGAAAUCAUUUCAGAACUGUCUGCCAACUAUACAUAUCACAGCAAAUCAUUCUUUUCUGUAGUAAUUUUUUUUUAAACCUCCCAACUAUUAGAAAUGCCUUGUGCUCAAUGUGUUUGCCUUACCCGGUAACUGCUGAUCACAGUUUUUCUCAACUACAUUUUAAACCUAGUGAUAAAAAGUUAAUUUAUUUCCUCAGAGAUUACAAAAGACAUCACAUCUAUUGAGUUAAAUAAAUGAGACCCUGCAUUUCUUCGAAAUCGAGCACCUACAGCAUCUGGGGUGAUUUAGCAGUUUGCCAGAGUUUAAUUUGCUUAAACUAACAGUUUGAACAGCGAUUGAUCUCUUAUUUAUUAGAAGCUGGGCAGGCUAAUACAUUAUUUUUUUUUCUCCCAACUUGUAGCAAAUGCUUAGGAGGCAAACAAAAAAAAUUGAAAUCCCCCAAACCAUGCAGAGUCUUUUUUUUUUCACUUCAGUUUGCUUGUUCAUGUCUAGUUUAUUUAUUGCAGUUGCCAAAACUCCCUUUUAGGGAAUAGAAACAAAGUUAGGGAAUAGUCCCAGUCUUCACUAUGGCAAUCAAACAUUAGUAUUAACCAUAGGCCUUUUUCCUAAUUAAAAUCAUUAAAACACGACCAAGAAUUAUAUAAACAAGCCCUGACUUAUUGAAAAAAAUUGUAGACUUUGAAGUAAUUGUAAAAAGUUGCUAUAAUAUGGGUGUGUGUAUUCAUUAAUAAUAUACUGUUUUAUAUAAUUCUUAACAUUUCGCUAGUUGGGACCCUAGGCUCAUAGGAUCACAGAUUUAGAGCAUGAGGAUCUGAAAGGUCAUUCAAUCCAAACCCUUCAUGAAGGACAUUAAAGCCUAAAACAAUAAAAUUAUCUGCUCAAGGUCAUCAUUGACCUUCAGUCUUUUUCAGUUGUGUCCAACCCUUCCUGACCUCUUUUAGAAUUUCCUUGGCAAAGAUACUCAUGUGGUUUGUCAUUUCCUUCUCCAGCUCAUUUUAUAAAUAGGGAAACUGAGGCAAAUAGGGUGAUUUUUCCAGGGUCACAUAGCUACUUAGUGUUUGAAGCCACAUUUGAACUCUGGUCUUUCUGACUCUUAAGACCACAAUAUUAUCCACUAAAAGUGGCAUGGCUAUUUAAAAUGGCAUUAAAUAUAUAAUAAACCUGGGAAAUUAUCUGAAAAACUGUAGAAGAAAGCCUAGAUUUAUAACUUCCUCUUUCUGUGCUUUAGUUUCUUUAUGAUUAAAAUCAAACCAGAAAGUUGAUUUUUCAUCUACAAUUAUAGUUUUAUAUAUCAAUGUAAAGUAAUUUUUAUUGGUAACAAAUUUCAUUUUGUGCAAAAAUAAUAGAUUUAAGAGAAGAAAGGACCCUCCUAGAAAUGAAGAUCAAAGGAUGCAUUCAUUAAGGGUUGGGUUGUGAAUUCGACAUAAAUAGGCAGGCAAUUUAAGGAAAGUGAAUUUCCUUUCUCUUGAUAUCUUCAAUCGAAAUCUUAGUAACAAUGUAGUAGGUAUUAAGUGUUGAACCUUUUUAGAUGAGAUGGUCACUAAAGUUCCUUCUCACUUUGGGAUUCUUUGAUUCUUGUCAACUUGAUCAAAGGACAGCUUUAACUACAUUUUCGACUAAAUCAAUUAAUUAUUUUGGUUGUGAUAUAUGGUUGAGAGCAAGACUACACAAUUUGGACUGGUGAAUUCAAAUGCACUCUAUACAUAAUUACAAGACAAGAUCUGGUAAAAAAAAAAAAAACUGAUAUAUUUUACUAUUUAAGGGGAAAGUUUGUAAAAGCAAAGCAAUUAAAAAAACAUGAAAAUGUCUCUAUUCUGUUCUUUAUUAAAAUUUUUCUAGCUCCUUUUAGAUAACCAGUAUAGAAUUAAUAGUAUUUUCUGAAUACCUGGUAUGAUAAGGGUAUGGAUAUUCUAUGGGCUAAAUAUAGUAUUAUACAAUCAUUCCAUUCAUUAAUAUGGUGGAAAGAGUUCCAGAUUUGUAGUCACAGAUCCCAGGUUUGAGUUCUUUUUUGUAAUUGUGUGACCUUGGACAAAUCACUUCAUCUCAGUUUCAAUGUCUCCAAAAUGAGCUCUAAUUUAUGAUCUCAUUCUCCUUCCAUAGCUCUCAAACUAUCCUAUGAUUUCUGUAACACAAAUAUCAG